CCUACGGGAGGCAGCAGUGGGGAAUUUUGGACAAUGGACGCAAGUCUGAUCCAGCCAUGCCGCGUGUGGGAAGAAGGCCUUCGGGUUGUAAACCACUUUUGUCAGGGAAGAAACGGCUCGGGUUAAUACCUUGGGCUAAUGACGGUACCUGAAGAAUAAGCACCGGCUAACUACGUGCCAGCAGCCGCGGUAAUACGUAGGGUGCAAGCGUUAAUCGGAAUUACUGGGCGUAAAGCGUGCGCAGGCGGUUAUGCAAGACAGAUGUGAAAUCCCCGGGCUCAACCUGGGAACUGCAUUUGUGACUGCAUGGCUAGAGUACGGUAGAGGGGGAUGGAAUUCCGCGUGUAGCAGUGAAAUGCGUAGAUAUGCGGAGGAACACCGAUGGCGAAGGCAAUCCCCUGGACCUGUACUGACGCUCAUGCACGAAAGCGUGGGGAGCAAACAGGAUUAGAUACCCUGGUAGUCCACGCCCUAAACGAUGUCAACUGGUUGUUGGGAGGGUUUCUUCUCAGUAACGUAGCUAACGCGUGAAGUUGACCGCCUGGGGAGUACGGCCGCAAGGUUGAAACUUCAAAUGAAUUGAGNGNGNGAGNGCGAGACGACGACGAGGAGGAGG
This 616-nucleotide ribosomal RNA is filed under the name uncultured bacterium. RNAcentral describes it as "bacterial SSU rRNA". It matches the Rfam family "Bacterial small subunit ribosomal RNA", at positions 338 to 944 of the family's 1533-position model. The record is from RNAcentral.